Molecule: ribosomal RNA, 334 nt
Filed under: uncultured soil bacterium
Lineage: Bacteria
Description: bacterial SSU rRNA
Rfam family: Bacterial small subunit ribosomal RNA
Source: RNAcentral
AGAGUGAACGCUGGCGGUAGGCCUAACACAUGCAAGUCGAACGGCAGCACGGUAAGAGCUUGCUCUUAUGGGUGGCGAGUGGCGGACGGGUGAGGAAUACAUCGGAAUCUACCUUUUGGUGGGGGAUAACGUAGGGAAACUUACGCUAAUACCGCAUACGCCCUUCGGGGGAAAGCCGGGGACCAGCAAUGGCCUGGCGCUGAUAGAUGAGCCGAUGUCGGAUUAGCUAGUUGGUGAGGUAAUGGCUCACCAAGGCGACGAUCCGUAGCUGGUCUGAGAGGAGGAUCAGCCACACUGGAACUGAGACACGGUCCAGACUCCUACGGGAGCAGCA